RNAcentral lists this ribosomal RNA (397 nucleotides) under uncultured bacterium. RNAcentral's name for it is "partial 16S ribosomal RNA". It matches the Rfam family "Bacterial small subunit ribosomal RNA", at positions 523 to 918 of the family's 1533-position model. The record is from RNAcentral.
AUACGUAGGGGGCGAGCGUUGUCCGGAAUGAUUGGGCGUAAAGGGCGCGUAGGCGGCCCGGUAAGUCUGGAGUGAAAGUCCUGUUUUUAAGAUGGGAAUUGCUUUGGAUACUGUCGGGCUUGAGUGCAGGAGAGGUAAGUGGAAUUCCCAGUGUAGCGGUGAAAUGCGUAGAGAUUGGGAGGAACAACAGUGGCGAAGGCGACUUACUGGACUGUAACCGACGCUGAGGCGCGAAAGUGUGGGGAGCAAACAGGAUUAGAUACCCUGGUAGUCCACACUGUAAACGAUGAAUGCUAGGUGUAGGGGGUAUCGACCCCUUCUGUGCCGCAGUCUACACAAUAAGCAUUCCGCCUGGGGAGUACGGCCGCAAGGUUGAAACUCAAAGGAAUUGACGGGG